This is a long non-coding RNA of Odocoileus virginianus texanus, 2721 nucleotides long. RefSeq lists it as uncharacterized. Lineage: Eukaryota; Metazoa; Chordata; Mammalia; Artiodactyla; Cervidae. The record is from RefSeq and is a predicted model, not a curated record.
UGGACAUUUAGGCAGAUGUUUGGCAUUAAGGUGUGGUAGCUGUACCCAGGCCCAGAGAGAGAAACUCAGGAUUUAAAAAAACACACCCCCCCCCCUUGAAGAAAAGAACAGAAAAGAAAAAACAAAGAUAGAAGAAUGGGAAGUAACCUCUUUAUGUCUUGUCUUUAUGGAGAGUUGCUGUUCCUGUUUCACCAUACAUUAUAAAGCAGUAUUACUAACCACCACCAGCAAAUCUUUAGCAAAGAAAAGAACUGAAUUUCAAAACCAGAAAACUUAAUCAAGGACACAGGCUUAUUAUAGAGUGGAACCAGAAUUUGCUCCUCCUGGAAGCCACAAGAGGUCGGGGCAGGAAAUCAAAGCUUUAUUUCAGGCAGCUUAAUUAAACACCAUCCUAAUUCAGCACAAGGAGACCCGAGGGGACAUAUUUUAUAACCUCAAACUGAAACAUGCACAAUGGACAAAUCGCCUUGAGUUCAUCUGCAUUUCUGUAGGAGGCAAAAGUUCAACGGAGGGAUGCUCCCAGUUUACUGUGAAGUCUGCUCUGCUGGAACCAGAUACUGACAUCUCCUGCCCAAAAAAUCCAACAGCCUCACAAUACUUGGGCAAUAGGAAGCAUGAAUGCUCUUUGCAGGUGGUCCAACAAAGAAUGAGAAGCUAUUCUUAUUUUCAAGUAGCCCAGAACUCUCAGACUCAGGAUACUCAACACUUUUUUUAAUGUGAAAAGUAGAAGAGACUGGCCAUAUCUCUCGCCCACUACUGCUUCCUAUAAAUUCCCUUUCCUGAGUUAGGACCCAAGUUAGAGCUUUCAAGACCUGCUUUCCCUGACUGUUGAAAUUAUGCCACAGGAAGGGGAAGAACAUAGAACUUUCAAACCUGUUCACUGCAGCCCACCACUAUGAGGACCUGCCCACCAGAUAUUAGCACCCUUACUACUAGCAACAAGACAUCAUCUUGGUAAUUUGACUUUUCACCCUUCCUAAUAAGCACAUGUGAUACACAACUUGCAAUUUCUCAGUUGCACAAUCAGAAACCUGUGACAUCACAAAGCUCUGAGCAGCAUGUGGGAAGCACCCUAGCAACCAGACCCAAUAAGGUCAACACUUCUCUGAACUGGAGAAACAGCACAGAUGGAAUGAAGCUGUCUCAGCUUAGCCUUUUGUAAUAAGUUUUGAGAACUCUACCAGGGCUAAAUAACCAGAAGUUUCUGUUUGGUUUUAUUUUUGUUUUAACCGUCAACCAGAUGCUACUGCAUCAAAGCAGCCAGUCCCCAUAGGUGAUAACACAUAGUUUUUAUCCAUUCCACAAGGGUGGGAUUGGCCCAAGAUGAAGGGAUGCGGCUAGUUCUCUAAUAACAGCAGUGCCUUUCGGGAGAUGUGGGCUGCCUCUUUCAGAAAUGAUGUUUUAAUUGGGAAAAAAAAAAAACAAAACCCUUUCAUCACCCUCACUAUAGGUUUAUGAAACUUCUUCCCAAUCAUGUGAUUUUGAUAAUCACAGAUGAAAUCCAAAGUAAAGCUCAAUAUCUUAGAUGUUAUGACUUAUUAGAAAUACAGGUGUGGAGGCAAGGCAAUUCUUUUUCAGGCUAAACUGAUGGCCUAGAUACCUUUUUCUGUGCAUGGGUCACAGUCCAUUUCUUAAAUUUACCUGACAAAAUUCACUUGGGAAGUUUGUAAACAAGAAGACUCCUGCACCCCUAUCUUGGUGGCUGGUUCUGCAAGUCUGCAGAGAAGUGAGGGUAUUGCCCCUUAAACAAUGACCCCAGAUGACUGAUGUGAUUAUAUGAGAGCAGAGCCUUCCUUCUGCCAGAGCUAUGCUCUAACAAACAAGAGAAUCCCAAAUUAUGUUAACAGAAGACAAAUCUGUGAUACUUUGAUUCUAGCUCUGGAUUUAAAUGCAUUAACUCCUGACAAUGAAGGAGAGUAAUUCUCUGAUCCUUGGAUUUCUUUGAUUUCCUUAAUCAAGGGAAAAUCCUUGAUCGCAGAAAGAGGCAGUUCAAGCCCUUCUAGGGGCGGCAUUUGUAUCAGUAAAUGAAACAAAACCAAACAUUCUGUUCAUCACAGAAAUCAUCAGUAUAACAUUUUAAACUUGAAUUUGUGAAGUGAGGAUACACAUUCACUAAUGUGCUCAGUUGCUCAGUCAUAAAUACAUAUGCACAAAUCAACCUGCUUUUUUAGCUUUCCAACUGAUCUCCAAGUCCUGAUCUGAUCUCCAUAUCCUAUUAGUUCUGCCCAGAGGAAAAGAAGAGCAAUUUCCAAAUUUCCAGCAUUUGGAAAAUAAAAUCCUCCUGUAAGAAUCCAGAGGUAUUGCCUUCUCUCUUAUUCCAUUUCUCAAAGAGAAUAGCUCUGAAGCUCCUGGAAACUGGCUACAAAUUAGGGAUAACCAUAGAGGAUUUAUUAAGUAAAUUAUAGUAUAUAUUCAUUAUUAUGAUGCAACCAUUAUGAUGAUACUUAUAAAUAAAUGAUAAUGACAUGGGAAAAUACAAUACAAUGAUCCAUAAGAGAACAAAAUGUAUAGGCACAUAACCACGUUACAUAAUUUCACCAAUUACACAUAAAUAUACAAUCAUUUAUGUGGAAAUAUGACUAAGGUGUAAGGUAUAAAAAUAUUUUAUUUUUUUUAAAGUAAAUGGGCAACAAAUAAGUUCCAUAGUAUUCUUUAGAUUUUUUUUCUAGGUCUUUUCUAUUAUUAAAUUUAAUGCAUCUUUAUUAUUUUUUAGAAUAAAGC